This 513-nucleotide ribosomal RNA is filed under the name Hansenula anomala. RNAcentral's name for it is "LSU rRNA". It matches the Rfam family "Eukaryotic large subunit ribosomal RNA", at positions 86 to 601 of the family's 3401-position model. The record is from RNAcentral. Lineage: Eukaryota; Fungi; Ascomycota; Saccharomycetes; Phaffomycetales; Wickerhamomycetaceae.
ACGGCGAGUGAAGCGGCAAAAGCUCAAAUUUGAAAUCUAGCACCUUCGGUGUUCGAGUUGUAAUUUGAAGAUGGUAACCUUGGGUUUGGCUCUUGUCUAUGUUCCUUGGAACAGGACGUCAUAGAGGGUGAGAAUCCCGUCUGAUGAGAUGCCCAUUCCUAUGUAAGGUGCUAUCGAAGAGUCGAGUUGUUUGGGAAUGCAGCUCUAAGUGGGUGGUAAAUUCCAUCUAAAGCUAAAUAUUGGCGAGAGACCGAUAGCGAACAAGUACAGUGAUGGAAAGAUGAAAAGAACUUUGAAAAGAGAGUGAAAAAGUACGUGAAAUUGUUGAAAGGGAAGGGGCAUUAGAUCAGACUUGGUGUUUUACGAUUAUCUUCUCUUCUUGAGUUGUGCACUCGUAUUUCACUGGGCCAGCAUCGAUUCGGAUGGCAAGAUAAUGGCAGUUGAAUGUGGCUUCACUUCGGUGGAGUGUUAUAGCUUCUGCUGAUAUUGCCUGUCUGGAUCGAGGGCUGCGUC